UGAAGGAAUGAUUGACCCCACCGGAUUG
This 28-nucleotide small RNA is filed under the name Bombyx mori (domestic silkworm). RNAcentral describes it as "ovarian small RNA-30943". Lineage: Eukaryota; Metazoa; Arthropoda; Insecta; Lepidoptera; Bombycidae. The record is from RNAcentral.